This 119-nucleotide ribosomal RNA is filed under the name Bombus terrestris (buff-tailed bumblebee). The record is from RNAcentral. Lineage: Eukaryota; Metazoa; Arthropoda; Insecta; Hymenoptera; Apidae. RNAcentral also lists the same sequence under 1 other name.
GCCAACGCUCAUACCGCGUUGAGAGCACUCGUUCUCGUCCGAUCACGAAAGUUAAGCAGCGCUGGGCACGGAUAGUACUUGGAUGGGUGACCGCCUGGGAACUCCGUGUGGUGUUGGCU